UGAGACUGUAUAGAACAUUAAAGAAGAAAACUUUUCUUUUUUCAAUUUGUUGAAAUCAUUAAUAGUAUAUUCGGACAUAGCUUUUUUUAGUGCUCUUGCCUAUGCCCGUGUGAUAUUCAUGUCCAAGUAUAUGUGGAUUUACAAUUUAGAAACUUAUGUAAUGGAGGGCAAAUUGUAAUGGUCACUGCUAACUUUUUAUGGUUAACAUUUUUAUGCAGAGUAUGUAUUUAUGUUUAUAUUUAUUUUGAAAACAUCUGUUUUUGUGUGCUUAUACGUGUGGAUGAUUGUAUGAAGUUAUUUACAGUUGAGGAACCAGAACUUGGUCUAAUUCCUUUUUUUUCCCUUAUUACUUAUUGUUUCUUUGAGACAAUACAUUUCACUCUAUUCUUAGUAGGUCUCUUCAUUGUGUCUCUGCUGAUUUCUUUUUGUUUUAAGAUCCCUGCUGAGUAUUGAGUUCAUGAUCUGCACUCCCUUUUUGCACUGAAAGAUGAAAAUACCCUUUUCUUUUGGAAUGCUCUUUUUCUUUUCUUUUUUUUCUUUUUUUUUUUUUUCACUUGGAUGAUUUGGGAGGAUUUGAAUCACUCUCGGCACGACCGCUGUUGUACAAAAAUAUGACUUUUUAAUUAACUCGCUCAAGACAUUUUAAACACUUAGUAGUGUGGCCACCGAUCUCAAGAUUCUUAGAAAUAAGGCAUACAUCAUACUUGUUUGUUGUUAUUGACGGUAGUGGUAGAGUGACAAAGGUCUUAGCCUGCUACACUUCCUCCUAUAUUAGAUAACAACUUGUAUCAUCAUAUUUUUAACUCAAUUGGAAAUUGAAGUCAUCAAAUAAAACAGAGAAAAAAAAUGAAUUGGGUUUUUGAUCUCUUUUCAUAUUUGAAUGCUUUCAUUCGUCCUGAAUCAUGUCAAUUUAACUUAGUUGGAGGAAGUAGACUUUAGGUCAAUUUUAGUCUUGAGUUUAACAAUCGGGAUGUAUUUUUGUUCUUGACGUGAAAUAUUUUUUGCAGUUGUUUUGAGUUCAAAAUGGCAGCGAAGUACAUUCUUUCUUCAAUUGUGGGAACAGCUGCAAUUGCAUAUGUAUGCGACAAUUUAAUUGCUGACCAGAAGAUUUUUGGAGGCAAGUUCUUGCUAGCUUCUUUAAAACUCUGCUAUGUUUUAUGGUAUAAACUUACUCGGAUUUCAUUUCAGGCACUACUCCAAAGACUAUCUCAAGUACAGAAUGGUGGGUAGAGACUGACAAGAAGUUUCAGGCAUGGCCUCGUACUGCUGGUCCCCCUGUGGUCAUGAACCCUAUCAGCCGCCAAAAUUUCAUUGUCAAAUCCAGCCUUGAUCAAUGAAGUACUUCCUACUUGUCUUGACCCCUUUUCUGGUUUUCCGAUUAAGCAAAAACUUAAUUUCUAUAGUCAUUGAAAGCAUAGAAGUGAAGAGUGAAUCUCUUGUUGAAUUCUGUUUUGUUUACUUACGCUGAAUGUGAAUUCGUAAUAAGUGUUAUGCUUGCAUACUUGGGGAAUUAUUUCUCAUCUUUUGCAUAUUUGCUCUCUUCUUGGCCUUUCUUCCUCUGGCAAAUUUUAUUUUAUUUUAUUAUUAUUAAUUUUUUUUUUUCGAUGAGAUGCAAAAAAGUCGGAUCUCUAUUUGUCAGGGACUUUAUUAACAAGAGAGCAAGAAAUUCAACGCCCUAUUGAC
This 1683-nucleotide long non-coding RNA is filed under the name Olea europaea subsp. europaea. Lineage: Eukaryota; Viridiplantae; Streptophyta; Magnoliopsida; Lamiales; Oleaceae. The record is from RNAcentral.